Molecule: long non-coding RNA, 759 nt
Organism: Nycticebus coucang (slow loris)
Lineage: Eukaryota; Metazoa; Chordata; Mammalia; Primates; Lorisidae
Exons: 5
Source: RefSeq, a predicted model, not a curated record
UAGCCAAAAGGAGAAUAAGAAAACUGAGCGAAUCCUCAAAGAGAGUCGGGACCUGGCACGUUCAUCGAGAGGCUGCAGAGGAACGUCCAAGAAACGGUUGAAAAGGCAACAACUUUGAAUCAGACUUUGUAUGAAGAUUUCCAGCUGCCCAGCUUGAUGCUUGAGAAUAUGCAGCAGAACAUUUCAUCUUUGCUCAAAACCAUACAGAAAAGGCACUUCAUGCAGUUGCACCAAAAUGUCACCCUGGAACUCAAGGCUGCUCAAGACUUACUGUCAUAAAUUCAGAAAGCAUACCAGAAGCCACAGGAAGAGUUGGAAGUGUUGAAAGAAAUAGCAAGCCGGCUCCUGGCCGAGCACAGUGGACAGCUGCAGGCGGCCAGGACACUAGUGAAGGACGCAGAGGGAAAGAGCCAGGAAAGCGACCGUCUGCUGCUCGUGGCCAGCGCCAACCUGAGAGAGUUUGAGGUAUUGCAUCGGAACUGAGUAAAUUGAGAAAUACAGCAAACAUUUCAAAAGAACGCUGAUAAAAUUACCAGGCAGACCAAUGAAUCACUCUCAAUACAUAGAGCAAUUCCUGAAGAUGUGGGACACCAAGGAGCCAGAACUAAAGAGCUGGCCACAUCUGUAAACAGGAGCGCUGUGAGCACGCUGGCAGAUGUGGCAGGGGGUUGAGCUGGAAGCUGCUCGACACGUCGACUGGCCUGUCCGGGGUCAACGCCACAUUGCGAGAGACAAACAAGCUCCUGCAUGACUCGAACC